Phthorimaea operculella (potato tuberworm) is the source of this 73-nucleotide non-coding RNA. The record is from the annotation of a GenBank genome assembly. Lineage: Eukaryota; Metazoa; Arthropoda; Insecta; Lepidoptera; Gelechiidae.
ACCGCGGUAGCCUAGUUGGAGGCGUCGGCAGUACAGUAGCUGGAAGACGCAUGUUCAAAUCCUGCCUGCGGUG